Molecule: ribosomal RNA, 253 nt
Filed under: uncultured bacterium
Lineage: Bacteria
Description: partial 16S ribosomal RNA
Rfam family: Bacterial small subunit ribosomal RNA
Source: RNAcentral
UACGUAGGGUGCUAGCGUUGUCCGGAAUUAUUGGGCGUAAAGAGCUCGUAGGCGGUCUGUCGCGUCUGCUGUGAAAAUCCAGGGCUCAACCCUGGACCUGCAGUGGGUACGGGCAGACUAGAGUGCGGUAGGGGAGAUCGGAAUUCCUGGUGUAGCGGUGAAAUGCGCAGAUAUCAGGAGGAACACCGGUGGCGAAGGCGGAUCUCUGGGACGUAACUGACGCUGAGGAGCGAAAGCAUGGGGAGCGAACAGG